CUCGAAUUACGUUGGUAACCAGUUUAAAAUAGCAAUAAGGCGGCACCUCAGGGGUUUGUGGUAUAUGGUCAAUAUACCACAGCUAAGGGCUAUGUCCAGGCACUCCGCGUUGCACAUAAGAAUAUACAGUACCAGUCGAAGGUUUGGACAUGCCUACUCAUGUAAGGGUUUUUCUUUAUUUGACUAUUUUCUACAUUGUAGUGAAGAUAGUGAAGACAUCAAAACUAUGAAAUAACACAUGGAAUCAUGUAGUAACCAAAAAAGUGUCAAAUCAAAAUAGGAUUUAUAUUUGAGAUUCUUCAAAACAGCCACUCUUUGCCUUGGUGACAACUUUGCACACAUUUGGCAUUCUCUCAACCAGCUUUGAGGUAGUAUCCUGGAAUGCAUUUCAAUUAACAGGCGUCCCUUGUUAAAAGUUCAUUUGUGUCAUUUCUUUCCUUCUUAAUGUGUUUGAGCUAAUCCAGUUGUGUUGUGACAAGGUAGGGGUGGUAUACAGAAGAGGGUAUUUGUCCAAAUAGGGCUAAGUCCAUAUUAUGGCAAGAACAUCUGAAAUAAGCAAAUAUGACAGUCCAUCAUUAAAACGUGGUCAGUCAAUCCCAAAUAAGAACUUUGAACGUUUGUUCAAGUGCAGUUGCAGAAGCGCUAUGAUGAAACUGGCGCUCAUGUGGACUGCCACAUUAAAGGAAGACCCAGAGUUCCCUCCGCUGCAGAGAAUAAGUUCAUUAGACUUAACUGCACCUCAGAUUGCAACCCAAAUAAAUGCUUCUGUUUGUUAGUCACAUCAACUGUUCGGAGACUGCGAGAAUCAAGCCUUCAUGGUCAAAUUGCUGCAAAGAAACCACUACUAAAGGACACCAAUAAGGAGACUUUCUUGGGCCAAGAAACAUGAGCAAUGGAUAUUAGACCGGUGGAAAUCUAUCCUUUGGUCUGAUGCGUGCACUUGAGAUUUUUGGUUCCAACAACCUUUGCCAGAUGAGGUGAACAGAUUUAUCGCCGCAUGUGGUUCCCACCACGAAACAUGGUGUGAUGGUGCUUUGCCUGUGACAGUGAUUUAUCUAGAAUAAGGCACACCUAACCAGCAUGGCUACCACAGCAUUCUGCAGCAAGAUCCCAUCUAGUUUUGGCUUAGUGGGACUGUUUUUCAACAGGACAAUUAACCAACACACACUUCCAGGUUGUGUAAGGGCUAUUUCACCAGGAAGAGGGGAGUACUGCAUCAGAUCACCCGACCUCAGAACUUGGCACGCUGGAAAACCACUGUUCAGGAACUUAGUUAAACCGGAACCUCAACUAUAUUACUGAUCCCCAGGGCAGUUAAGUCUACAGCUGUACAAAUGUAAACCAAAUUGUACUGCAACGGGGACUCAAAAGCAUCAACUGGUUCCCCAGAUAUUAGUUUCCAACAUUAUCAAAAGCAUUAAGUGCAAGUUGGGUGGACCGAAAGAUAAGAAUUUCACCACACCCGCAAUAUCUACUAAAUGUGUGUGAUCAAUAAAAUAAGAUUUGAACCUGAAUCAAUGUUUACAGAGACUGUAAUGUAGUUAGUAAACCAAAUAUUUAUUAUGGUCUUUACAACAGCUGUGCAGGAGAGAUUCUAGCAGAAGUCAACGGCCAGGAGCCAUUGGCAGAGUAGAGGGCUGGGUAGGCAGAAUCUGUCCUUCACACCAACGAGGCCAGCUUCAGACCACCAUGGUUCAGCUCUUCAAAUCAUGGACCGCUGGCUUCAGAGGGCUUGGAGUGGGUGGAGAAAAACAAUCACAGCAGUAGGGGAAUGGGCCAGUCUACUUGGACCUCUGCCUCAUCUUUCGCCUUUUACGCUUCAGCCUACAAAGACCAGAAAGUGUCAAUUAGUGACCAGGGCUGCAUCAUUACACACCAUAUCAGCUUGUAAAAGUCCCAACAAUGACUAGCAUUAAUCCCACCAUUGUCAUGUACUCAUUUAAAUGUAAUGUUCAUUUAAAAAUAGGCAAGUCAGUUAUCAUUUAUUUUUUACAAUGACACACGGCUCCCCAGUAGGCUGUUAGCUGCCUUGUUCUGGGGUAGAACAUAUUUAAGUGUUCCACCGUGGCGAUUCGAUCCAGCAAACUAGCAGUUACUAGCCCAGUUCUCUAACCACUAGACUACCUGCAACGCCGAAUGAACAAACAUUCAACAUACACCCUGAAUUGAACUCGUAUGAGCCUGAAAAACAGUCAUAUACAUGGUUGUCAAAUCUAUUGUAGUAGAUUGCAAAUGUGCCAUGUCCAUGUUAACAGAAGACUGGAGUAGAAUGCAUAUCUGAACGAAACUACAAAGUAGCAUUAGCAUUCAGAUGAAAAGCCUUAAAGGAAAUGAUUCUUACCUGCGCAUACGCUUCUUCCUCCACUAAAAACAAAAUAACACUUAAAUCAAUUUAAAGACUCACAACCAAACAAGGAAUCAUUCAUGUUUAAAGCACAAGCUGCGGAUCUAAACAGGAAGACACGUGAAUAUCUGGCAUGGCAAUGCGGACCAUGCGUCACAAUGUUAAGAGUCAAGAUGAUACAAACACGCAGUAGGCAUGGCACUGGUGAACAGUAUAAUUGAUCGUGCUAAUAUAAGCCAUUCCUGAAAUCUACAAAAUGCAUUACAAGUAAUAUUGCUAGUACCAUGUGCGCCAUGAAACCUAGUUCGCCAACGUGGUCAAGCUAGCAAAACCCCAAUACGCCAUGUAUGAAAUUGAAUAUCACAUUCAAAAUUAACUCCUGCGCCAAUUAAGCGUUUCCCCCUUUAAAGUAAUAUUGGAUACUGCCAAUGUUUCCAUAUUUUAAUUGGAAGCCAACUAUUUAGGCACGUUGUCGUUAAGACACAUGUUUAUGUAGCGUUAGUUAGCUAGCCACUGCUUAGUGACAAUGUGCCAAACAAAAACCCGCUAAUAUGGAGUUAGAUAUUUAUCAACUCACCUUUGCUCUCAUCUUGUGGAGAUGUGCCUGCAAUUAAAGAUAACACAGUUGUUGUAUGUAAUGGAUGGCAAACAAUUACUAGUGAUUCAGUUGGAUUUGUUCUGGGACAUAAUUCAAUGUUUCUUACCUCUACAGCGAAGACACCAAAUUGAAAGAGGACGUGACGAAGAAAGGGGAGGGCCUUUAUAGAACAAAAUGGAACGUCAUAUUCAAUCGCCACUUGCUCAGCUCACUGCUCACUGGGCGAUGUAGGCAGAAAUCGUUGAAAUUUAAAUCAUAUUUUAUGUUGGAAUUAUAUACCUAUGUUCAGCUAUGUUCAGGCAUGUCUACAAUCACGUAAGUCCAUGGGUGCUGUUUGUAAUAGAAAAAUGGGUCACACUUUCCGUCCAUGUAAGCUUCCUUUUAAAUCUUAUCAAGCAAAUGUUAUUUUUCCACCACACCUCCCCAAUCCAAGUCAUAUAUAAUCUGAAACCUCUGAUUAAAGUGAAACUGAAUGGUCCAGGCAUCAAUUAUGUACACUACAUGACUAAAAGUAUGUGGACACCUGUUCAUCUCAUUCCAAAAACAUGGGCAUUAAUAUGGAGUUGGUUGGUCACCCCCUUGCUGCUAUAGCAGCUUCCACUCUUCUGGGAAGGCUUUCCACUAGAUGCUGGAACAUUGCUACAGUGACUUGCUUCCAUUCAGCCAACAAGAGCAUUAGUG
This is a long non-coding RNA of Oncorhynchus tshawytscha (Chinook salmon), 3623 nucleotides long. The record is from Ensembl. NCBI's taxonomy places the organism in Eukaryota, Metazoa, Chordata, Actinopteri, Salmoniformes, Salmonidae.